Molecule: transfer RNA, 72 nt
Filed under: Phrynosoma platyrhinos (Desert horned lizard)
Lineage: Eukaryota; Metazoa; Chordata; Lepidosauria; Squamata; Phrynosomatidae
Description: tRNA-OTHER
Source: RNAcentral
GCCAGUAUGGUGUAGUGGUUUGAAAGUUGGACUACAACUCUGGAGACCAGGGUUCAAUUUCCAGCUUAGCCA